GAUGAACGCUGGCGGUGUGCCUAAUACAUGCAAGUCGAGCGAACAGACGAGGAGCUUGCUCCUCUGACGUUAGCGGCGGACGGGUGAGUAACACGUGGAUAACCUACCUAUAAGACUGGGAUAACUUCGGGAAACCGGAGCUAAUACCGGAUAAUAUAUUGAACCGCAUGGUUCAAUAGUGAAAGACGGUUUUGCUGUCACUUAUAGAUGGAUCCGCGCCGCAUUAGCUAGUUGGUAAGGUAACGGCUUACCAAGGCAACGAUGCGUAGCCGACCUGAGAGGGUGAUCGGCCACACUGGAACUGAGACACGGUCCAGACUCCUACGGGAGUCAGCAGUAGGGAAUCUUCCGCAAUGGGCGAAAGCCUGACGGAGCAACGCCGCGUGAGUGAUGAAGGUCUUCGGAUCGUAAAACUCUGUUAUUAGGGAAGAACAAAUGUGUAAGUAACUAUGCACGUCUUGACGGUACCUAAUCAGAAAGCCACGGCUAACUACGUG
This 497-nucleotide ribosomal RNA is filed under the name uncultured bacterium. Its description in RNAcentral is "partial 16S ribosomal RNA". It matches the Rfam family "Bacterial small subunit ribosomal RNA", at positions 28 to 507 of the family's 1533-position model. The record is from RNAcentral.